This 278-nucleotide unclassified non-coding RNA is filed under the name air metagenome. RNAcentral's name for it is "partial contains small subunit ribosomal RNA, internal transcribed spacer 1, and 5.8S ribosomal RNA". The stretch from base 1 to 46 matches the Rfam family "Eukaryotic small subunit ribosomal RNA", at positions 1786 to 1831 of the family's 1831-position model. The record is from RNAcentral.
AAGUCGUAACAAGGUUUCCGUAGGUGAACCUGCGGAAGGAUCAUUAUUGAAACUUCAUCCGGGGCGCCGCGGCCCUCAGCACCGGUGGAAACGCCGUGUUGCGGGGGCCGCGCGUGCACUCGUCCAAACCAAACCCCUGUGAACCUUACGGGAUGGCCUGGGUUAGCGCCCGGUGCCGUUCCGCUUUAUACAAACACUUAUCAAAGAAUGAACUGAAGGCGGUCUGACCGCUGGAUAGCAAACUGAAACAACUUUCAACAACGGAUCUCUUUGCUCUC